This 3246-nucleotide long non-coding RNA is filed under the name Zea mays. RNAcentral's name for it is "long non-coding RNA (ZMAY_LNC000432)". The record is from RNAcentral. Lineage: Eukaryota; Viridiplantae; Streptophyta; Magnoliopsida; Poales; Poaceae.
CAUGAUCCUUUCCAGAACGGGUCCUCAUUCUGCCGACAAAAGGAGACUUAGCUUCUAAUCUUCAUGAAUAGGAAAGGACAACAUAGAAAAGCAAAGACAGGUAGCAUGAAUUGGGUAGGUAAAACAUGCGUUGAAACUGCUAUAGAGGAGGUUUAACUUAAAAGUGUAUGUCAUGAUGCAUGCUCGUCCUAUUCGUCAACACAUAGUGGCUAUCACGUUCUAUGGCGGUGGCAUACCUACUCACUCUGUCAUUGUACACUAGUCGCACUUUCCUAGUGUUUAAUUAGUGUACAUGCAGAAAAUUUCAUUACCACCCAAACCCCAUGAUGAAAUUCACAGACUUUGUCACAGUUUAUACUCCAUAUAUUUCUAUAUGGAGGCCAGCUCCUCAUUAAGCGCCGAGCCACAUAUAGGCGCCGCUGCCACACUUUAACCACAGGGCAGCCCAUUAUGGUAACUAUUCAUUACACUUCUCAGCGUUCCCAUGUCUGUAUACCCAUACACUUUCAUGGGGUACUGAAUCCCAAAAAAGUAAUUACUCCACAUCGCAACCUUCAUAUAUACAUAUGUGUAACAUGUAUAUAGUCUAGUGCCACAUUUAAGCACUCCCAUAGACCGACGUUUGUUAGGUCAUGCUCUCACAUCUCACCUUACCUUAGCAUCGAUCCAUUCAAAAUAGAAUGGCCCCAAAAAUAACAUUACACAUGUAGGCAAAAAUUCCCCCAGUUGUGGGUUAGUUGUUAGUAUCUUAAUCUAAGCCACCUUAUAGUCCUUAGCCUUAACCACAUACUAUUUGCACUUCUACUAUCAGGCUUUGCUUAUAUAUUAUUAAGUUUUCCAAAAUAAUUUCGACUCAAAAUCCCUUUGAAGUUUACCAAAGGAUUACUUUAACAUUCAUGCUAAUGGGGGAUCGCUCCGAUACCACGUUGUGAUAGCCAUCCCAAGUUAUCAGACCCACAUGCACCAAUCCUUGCCAUUAACGGCCUUAGAUGGUUGUGCAUGUGUACCGAGUAACUUAACAAGGCUAUCAAGUUCAACUCGAACUAAUCAUCCUGAGGAUCUCUCACAUAACAUGUACAUUACAGUAAUCACAUUUGAUACACACACACUUCAGAGAUAGAGCGAAAGACUUUACAAAACAUAUUUUUACAAUUCCAAAUCUCAAGUUUUACAUCAUAGAAAGAGUUGUAAUUAUUACAAGUCCUGAUAGUACUCAAGUGCAUGACUUAAUACACAAUUGGGAAAGGUGAAGCCUUUCCAUAAGAAAUACACUAAGAAUUAAAAUCUUCAAGGCCUCCCCACGAAGCAACUAUUAGGAGCUAAAGAUAGCAAGAAUCCUCCCUGCAACAACAAAGGGAAUAAAACCCUGAGUAUGCAAUUACUCAGCAAGACUUACCCGGCUAAAGAAAAGACUCUCAAGGGUAUGCUGGAUUCUGGGACUCAAGGUAAAGCUUAUCAAUUAUCGAAGACCCUUUUUAGCAGAAAAGCUUACUACCAAUUGAUCCCUAUGCCAAGUUUUAUUUCACAAAUUAGAUAUUUAACUGAAUCUAGAUUUGCCUAAUCUAGUUCAAGCACUUGACCUAUACUAGCUGCAUUUUAUCCAUACUCUUAUUUCACUUGCUAACUACGAUGAUGGUCACCGGGAUGAGACUCCAUAUCCGAGGAGCAACGACGAUUCGAACCAAUUAUACCCAGCUGGGGAUCUCUAACCACACGACAUAUGUAGCACUUAACACUUGCAUAUGUCAACUGUUCCCAUGGAGUCCUCCACUACAUGAACAGGUCCGCGCCACUCAAGAGCGCAUUACCCUACCAGGCGUGCUACUAUGCGAGGAGGGUACAUGCUACUCCCGCCAUCUCUCCACUCCCAGUGCGCGAUUAUCUCUUCACGUAUGGAAUAGCCGGGUUCAAGCUUACCUUGUGCCAUACCAGGGUAUGUGGCUAGUUGCAAAGUCUCAACCGCAACAGGCCAGUCAACGGUACAGUCCUUAAUCGACACAGACAGACGACCUUGUCUACUUAGCGUCUGGUCUCCAUUUAUUCAAACCAUUUUCCCAUUUUUGGUACCCGGCAGGGAUACUCUUUUUGGAUGAUGAACCCAUCCGGAGCCCUGAUGGACUCAUCAUCAUAAGUUUGCUUUCACUUUUGAAUCAAAAGCCCAUAACCAAUGUUACACAUCAUUCUUUUGAAAAACAAAUGAUUUUUGAGUUUCUAAGCAGGACUAAGCAGUAAUAAUUCUUUUUAUAAAACAUGGAUUUCAGAAUUUUGAAGGAAUGGUAAUGCAUCAAUUGUUUAUCACACAACUCCUAUCACCUAAUGCAUCAUAUCAGGUGAUAAAGCAUUUAAAACACAUGGGAGGGGAAAAUGCACCGGGGCUUGCCUUAUUGCAGGAGGAAAUCUGAGAUCUUCUAUUAUGAUAUGCAGUUAGAUGGAAUCCACCACUGGAUCAGCAGAACUAGAGCAGGCUCCUUCUUCACAAAUCACUUCUUCUUGGUACUCUACAAGAAAUGCCAUGAUUAUGAAUGCCUGUGUAUAUGCUACUAGCAAGGAAGAUAUUACGAAGAAUUACAAAAUUACAAUUACAAGCUAUCACCACAAGCCAUAACUACAAGAGAGCUACUUAUCCUUAGAACUCAUCUAACCAUCCAAAACUUGCUAAGAAACUUCAUUUUCAUUUUUUACUUAGUCAUUAGGUGCUUUAAUCACCCAGAGAUAAAUCUCUUUUUGCUUUUUGACCAACAACUAGUUUGCCAAGCAAAUCUUGUCCAAAUAGUUCCAAACAUUACCCAAGGGUUCAUAUGCUCAACAUAAGCUUACACAAUUUUCUCAUAAUUUUUAGUGCUCUAUUUUAUUACUAAAAGUUCAGACAAUCAUUUUAAGGCACCUUUUAAUCCUCUGAAAAUAUCAAUUUGAUGCAAAAACUCCAAAUCUAUUUUUACCUAGAACUCUACUACUUCACCCACCUAACAAAACUUGUUUCAUUAUUUUAGUACCUUUCCACAAUUUCUGGCGCAAAUAAACAGACAUCAGGUAAAAGAAAAUGCUAAAUAUAUGAACAGUCGUGGGCAAGAACUGACUCAACUGGCCCAACUCUAAACAACACUAGCCCAGUCAAGCAGCACUUACGGCUUUAGGCUCCAGCUCCGCGUGCACCCGUGCUCCCUCUGCGCGUGCCGGCUGCGACGCCAAACUCUAGAAACAACAACACGGAACAACGAUGCAGUAAAGUUCAAAUCAGCAACCGGG